AUUGAACGCUGGCGGCAGGCCUAACACAUGCAAGUCGAGCGGAUGAAGGGAGCUUGCUCCUGGAUUCAGCGGCGGACGGGUGAGUAAUACCUAGGAAUCUGCCUGGUAGUGGGGGAUAACGUCCGGAAACGGGCGCUAAUACCGCAUACGUCCUGAGGGAGAAAGUGGGGGAUCUUCGGACCUCACGCUAUCAGAUGAGCCUAGGUCGGAUUAGCUAGUUGGUGGGGUAAAGGCCUACCAAGGCGACGACCCGUAACUGGUCUGAGAGGAUGAUCAGUCACACUGGAACUGAGACACGGUCCAGACUCCUACGGGAGGCAGCAGUGGGGAAUAUUGGACAAUGGGCGAAAGCCUGAUCCAGCCAUGCCGCGUGUGUGAAGAAGGUCUUCGGAUUGUAAAGCACUUUAAGUUGGGAGGAAGGGCAGUAAGUUAAUACCUUGCUGUUUUGACGUUACCAACAGAAUAAGCACCGGCUAACUUCGUG
RNAcentral lists this ribosomal RNA (484 nucleotides) under uncultured bacterium. RNAcentral describes it as "partial 16S ribosomal RNA". It matches the Rfam family "Bacterial small subunit ribosomal RNA", at positions 30 to 507 of the family's 1533-position model. The record is from RNAcentral.